Molecule: long non-coding RNA, 749 nt
Organism: Ochotona princeps (American pika)
Lineage: Eukaryota; Metazoa; Chordata; Mammalia; Lagomorpha; Ochotonidae
Exons: 7
Source: RefSeq, a predicted model, not a curated record
CUCUGGGAGACGUCACGAAGGCGAGACUCUGGAGAUUUUAUUUGAAUCUGUGGCGCGUAGGUAGCGGCCAGGUGCGGAGUGGAGCCGGCCUGUGGGUGGAACCCGCGUUCUCCUGGGUUGGACAUCUGAUGCGUUAGCACACUGCCUGGGAUGCCCACAUCCGCUGUUGCAGUCCUGGCUCAGCUCCUGCUUCCUGCUUCCUGCCGUGUGCACCACAGGAGGCCACAGCGCCUGCCCCUGGCUCGGCGCCUGGUGCCAACAGAACACCUUUAAGGAUCCACAGCAAUGCAGACAACGUAAAGUAGACCUGCAAGCUGCACAUUGACAAAAGUAAGGUAACUUGUAAGGUUAAUAGUGAAUCAAAAGAACUUAGCUGGGUGGAGCCGUCUUGAAACCAUAUCUUCACAGGGUCCUGUUAAGCAACUAGACAGCUGCUUCAAGCUCUGCUAGCUUGCCCUUGUGAUCCAACCAGAAAGCCCUGUCCACCCUCCCAUGGACCUAACAAGCAUGAAUGAUCCACUGUCAAAAUAGAAAGAGGAAGAACCUGGUACCCAUGUUAUGAGCCUGAAAACACUGAAGAUGGUUUUUAUUGUUACAGCAAAAUUAGUGAAGAUGGAUCUUGAGAGAGUGGACUUGUUUUUCAGAACAUAAAUUGCAUUUCCAGCUACUGAGAUCUUGUUUUGCUUCCUCCAGUACGAAUCUCUACUUUUUUUCAUGUAGUCCUAUGUCCUUAUUUGGAAAUUUAUCCC